AACGAACGCUGGCGGCAUGCCUAACACAUGCAAGUCGAACGAGACCUUCGGGUCUAGUGGCGCACGGGUGCGUAACGCGUGGGAACCUGCACUUAGGUUCGGAAUAACUCUCCGACAGGGGUGCUAAUACCGGAUAAUGUCUUCGGACCAAUGAUUUAUUGCCUCUGGAUGGGCCCGCGUUGGAUUCGCUAGUUGGUAGGGUAAAAGACUACCAAGGCGACGAUCCAUAGCUGGUCUGAGAGGCUGGUCAGCCACACUGGGACUGAGACCCGGCCCAGACUCCUACGGGAUGCAGCAGUGGGGAAUAUUGGACAAUGGGCGAAAGCCUGAUCCAGCAAUGCCGCGUGAGUGAUGAAGGCCUUGGGGUUGUAAAGCUCUUUUACCCGGGAUGAUAAUGACAGUACCGGGAGAAUAAGCUCCGGCUAACUCCGUG
Molecule: ribosomal RNA, 433 nt
Filed under: uncultured bacterium
Lineage: Bacteria
Description: partial 16S ribosomal RNA
Rfam family: Bacterial small subunit ribosomal RNA
Source: RNAcentral